Molecule: ribosomal RNA, 270 nt
Filed under: Triticum aestivum (bread wheat)
Lineage: Eukaryota; Viridiplantae; Streptophyta; Magnoliopsida; Poales; Poaceae
Description: partial small subunit ribosomal RNA
Source: RNAcentral
AUGCCAAUUGCAAAGAUGGCGGAGAAGUUGUUGUGCCAGCGCAUGGGCGUUGUGGAUGAAGGCCAAGAAAUCACAGAAGAAGCCAUUGGAAAAUUCGUGGCUAUGUUCUAAGGGCAGCUCCCUGACAUCACGGUGGCGGCUCUCCGGGCGCUGUUCAACCUCGACUGCGAUUUGGUGCAAGCCGUCGAGGAUGCCUUGGUGGCACAUGGUGGUGAGACGGGACCGGAGCUGCAGGAAACGACGAGGGACGUGCCCGGCACGGCGGAGUGA